This 253-nucleotide ribosomal RNA is filed under the name uncultured bacterium. RNAcentral describes it as "partial 16S ribosomal RNA". It matches the Rfam family "Bacterial small subunit ribosomal RNA", at positions 524 to 776 of the family's 1533-position model. The record is from RNAcentral.
UACGAAGGGGGCGAGCGUUGUUCGGAAUUACUGGGCGUAAAGGGCGCGCAGGCGGCUCUGAAAGUCAGAUGUGAAAGCCCCGGGCUUAACCUGGGAAUUGCAUUUGAUACUCUGGAGCUUGAGUACGGGAGAGGAGAGUGGAAUUCCCAGUGUAGAGGUGAAAUUCGUAGAUAUUCGGAAGAACACCAGUGGCGAAGGCGGCUUACUGGUCCGGUACUGACGCUGAGGUGCGAAAGCGUGGGGAGCAAACAGG